AAGCCCAACUCGCCGUCGGUCACAGUCUCUGUCGUUGCAGUCGCCGUCACCGGUUAGGGCUGAACGAAUUAUACAUAAACGUUCAAUUAGCCAAGUUAAUUCACUGCCUCGUCAGCGGUCGACUGAAGCAGAAGUUUCCGUGAGCCAAUCGUCGUGUUGUAGAAUUCUUUUUUGUGUAUCUUAGCAAGGAAUUGUUUGAAUCGUUUGUCUUGUGCGCGACGAGUUAUACGAAUUUCAUAUAAUUAGAGGAUACUCAGCAGCAACGUGCGUUGAUGCCGUGUUUUUGUUUUGAUUUUGUUAUUCGCGAUUUUCAGGCCGCAUUAGUUAAUUAGAAACUUUGUGCGAAAAUUUUGUUUACAUUUUGACGUGCAAAAUUGAAAUAAAAGAAUUGUAUUAAUUUAUCAAGCCGAAAAAUACGAUUAAUGCGAUACACACGCGAUACGCACACACACACGCACACUGAGUUGACGCAGCUAAGUUGACGGAAGAAAGGUAAUAAAAGUGAUCAACAGAAGGUAAGCAGCAGCAAUAGCAGCAGCAGCUUCAUCUCCACCAACGCCAGCACCAGAUAUAACCAGCGCAUUCGCAGAAGCUCAUUGACACUCCAGUCAAAGCGAUAGCGAAACUAACAACACACGCCAGCCGAACAGCGAACAGCUGCACAGCAAGUAACAAGUGGCAAACAGUAAGCAAUAAAAGUCAGCCGACAGUCAGCAGCUUGACGAGUCAGUCGCGCAGCAAUCAAUUUACUCACUCACCUACUAUCCACCUACCUACCUACCGGCUUAUCAACAUAUUAACAUACCAGAUAUACACACGAGUACAUGCAGAUAUACCAGCGAAAAUCGAUGUGACUGACUGU
This is a long non-coding RNA of Ceratitis capitata (Mediterranean fruit fly), 862 nucleotides long. RefSeq lists it as uncharacterized. NCBI's taxonomy places the organism in Eukaryota, Metazoa, Arthropoda, Insecta, Diptera, Tephritidae. The transcript has 2 exons. The record is from RefSeq and is a predicted model, not a curated record.